GCAUACGCGGGCUCACGCAGCUGCUCACUUGUUUGGUUGGCCCGCCUGCCGCUCCUCCUCGUGCACACCUCCCCCUUUUAUCCUGUCUCUCUCACUCGCUGUAGACGUCUGCUCACGUGCUUUCUCUCCCCCAUCUGCCGUAUGCAUGUGUGUGCAUGCGUGUGUGUGCCCGCGUCUGCGUCCCUACACGCGUACGUCCGUCCGCACGUGCACCGCCAUCUCCACAGGCGCACUGCUGCAGCGGCGCACUCAGCUCGAGUGCUAGCGAAGAUUCUUUUUUACUCUUUAGUCGUUGCCUCACACACACUCACGCAGACGGUGUGUGUGCGUGUGUGGCCGAGGCAUUGGUGUAGGUGCGCAUCGAGCAACGGGUACGCGUAGACGGCGAGGGUUCAGUUGUUUGGUUAGACAACGUGCAGUGGCACCAAUGCCGCGGCCGAAGAAGGGCGGCGGGCGAGGGAAGGUCGUGAAGAAUAUCUGGGACAUCGCCGACUUACAGGCGGCGGCCCUGGGAAACAGCGGCAGAGGCGGGGCUGGUGAGCGCCCGUCCACCGCCACCACCGCGGCGACCUAUCGCCGCCCACGGCCGGUGCGGCAUGUCGACCCCGCCGUGCUGAGGCGCGCCUUCAUGCUGCAGAACUUCCAGUUCAUCCUUCGCGCCGAGCUGCUGACGAUCACGUCCACGCAGGGGCUGCCUCAGGGCCAGCGCCGGCUGAUGGAGUGCAUCCAGCUCAGCGACAGCCUCGUGCCGUGGGAGGUGGUGCACUCGGUCGUCAUGCGGGCCACUCCUGAGGAGUUCCAGUGCCCCAUCUGCAUGGAAAUGCCGACAGCACCGCGCAUCACGGAGUGCGGGCACGUCUACUGCCUCCCGUGCAUCCUACAGUACAUGAGCCGCCAGAAGGCGGCCGGCGCGCAGCGCAAGUGCCCGAUGUGCCACGACCUUCUCACGCCCUACACGCUGCGCCCCUGCGUGCUGCAGUCGGUGCAGCCGCGGAGGGUCGGCGCGCAGGCCCGCUUUGACCUCUUCAAGCGGCACCGCAACUCGUGCGUGCUGCGCCGCUCCGACGACCCCUUUCUGGCGGCACCGCCGCCGCCGUCCUCGGCGAAGGCCGUAGCGAUCCACCUCCCAGCCUACAUGGAGCCGAUGUCGUGCCAGAGUCGGUACGUGAUGACAACCCCGCAGUACGAGGCGGGGCAGCGCUACGCCGACUGCGCCGGUAUUUCGGAGCGGAUGCGCGAGCUGGAGCAGCUGACGCAGCCGCUGAGCGAGUCCGACGCGGAGGUGGAGCGAUUCUUGCUAGAGGCGCUGAACGAGGUGACCAAGGAGCCGAAGGGGCUGCCGCCGUCGAUGCUGCGCAACUCGCCGCCCAUGGCCCCGCGCCCCGUCACGACUCCGGAGGGCGAGGGCGACCACCUCGAGCUGUACGCCGACGGAGAAGGGCAGCCGUACUACCUGCACAUGUUGACCGUGAAGAUGCUCAAGCACGAUGCGAAGCUGCGCAACGCCGUACUGCCCGACACGGUCACCGGCAUGAUUGAGGAGGUUGUCACGAUGGAGCAGACGGAGGAGACGCGCCGCAUCUACAAGGUCUUUUCGCACGUCCCACUGCACGGCAUGAUCAAGCUGUGCGUCGUCAACGUGGAUCAUCUCGUCCUGCCGGAGACCCGCGCCGCUUUUGCCGCCGCGCUGCAGAGGAUGGCGAGCGACAGGGCGCAGCGCCGACACCGCGACGACCGCGCCGCCAGCGAGGAUGCGUCGUGGAAGCAGUACUUGAUGAGGUACAGCAACCGCAGCGGUGACUGCCUGGGCUUCUCGCCGGACACGGCGCCGUCGGACUUCUCCAUUGACACGGAGAGCCUGCCGUACCUGAAGCUCCCCUCGACGGGCUCCGCGGGCAGCGACCACGGGCUGCCGCCCAACACGCUCGACACGCGCCAGCGUGCCACCAAGCGACAGGAUAUGCAGUCGCUGCUCGUCGACUCGGCCGUGGAGCCUCCGUCACGCGGCGACACAGCAACGGCGAAGACCUCCAGCACCAUGGCGGCCGGCUGCUGGGCUCAGGGGAGUGCGACCAAGCUCUUUGCCAAGGCGGAGCGGAAGGAGGCGACGAAAUCGACGUGGGGCGGACACGUGUUCAGCCCCAAGUAGUCCUCGUCCCUCAGGUGGGAGGGUGACGACCCUCGCUGCCGGCUUCUCUGUGCGUCUCUCCAGGUGCACUUGCGUGCAUCACUGCCGCACCCAGCCGUACGCACGCGCGCACACGCGCGUAGGCGCAUGCGAAUGCGUGUAAUGGGAUGAAGGUGACUCGUGCCGCGUGAGGUGCAGCGUCCACUGCUGUGUGAGGGCCUGUGUGGAGGGUGGUGCAGGGCGGGAGUGGGGCGAGUGGGAGACGGCUCGGUGGCACAACGGCGUUUCUGUCGUCAGCGAUGCAGCACUCCUUUCAUUCCCCUGCCCCGCUCUUCAUACGUGUGCUCUGUAUGCCAACGGCGCCUUGCGUUGUCUGUUUCUCUGCGCGCGCACACGCAGAGAUACAAGCACAGCGGUGCUCCGGCUCUCUGCCCCCCUCCGAGUUGUUCCACAUCGGCCUGUCGCUGUCCUUCUCUGCUCUGCACCUCUUGCUUCCCUUUCCUCUCCGUUUUCGAACCCGGGCUGACGGCCGCCCCGCACUGUGUGAUGGGUGGCGCACGUGCGCGUGCGCGUGUGCUGGCGGAGUUUAUUCGAAUUUCAAGCAACGCAAGUUAAGAGAAGAUGACGCGGCGCUCACCGCGCUUGGCUCCCCCUGUGUGUGUGUGUCUCUGUCUGCAUCAGUGAGAUGCUCACUGGUGCUCGCUCUCGCUCUGUCUCACCGCC
This 2851-nucleotide unclassified non-coding RNA is filed under the name Leishmania donovani. RNAcentral's name for it is "gene:LdHU3.08.1690(CDS-product:Zinc_finger_C3HC4_ type_(RING_finger)/Ring_finger_domain/zinc-RING_finger_doma in/zinc_finger_of_C3HC4-type_RING_putative)". Lineage: Eukaryota; Euglenozoa; Kinetoplastea; Trypanosomatida; Trypanosomatidae. The record is from RNAcentral.